Molecule: long non-coding RNA, 2527 nt
Organism: Pongo pygmaeus (Bornean orangutan)
Lineage: Eukaryota; Metazoa; Chordata; Mammalia; Primates; Hominidae
Exons: 3
Source: RefSeq, a predicted model, not a curated record
GUCUAUCUCCAGGCCACAAUAUAGCUGAGAGCCACAGAAAACACCUGUCCCAUGGCUCUCCACAGGAGCAGUGUCCAGGCAGAACCUGUCCACUCAGCCCAGUACAGACAGCUUUAUGGUCCAGCUAUUCUCUGAUGUGAAAGGAAAACAAAUCACAGGAGCCACAGAAGUCAUGACAGACCUACUGGGAAACAAACUGCUCUUCACACCAUGAGAUGUGUAAUUCAAGGCAAUAACUGUCUUAUUCAUUGUCUGCACUUAAAACUACGUUUGAUGCUCAAAAUAUCUGUGAACCAAUGAAAAUUUCAAAUGAGCAGCAGGAUGAAAAGCAAAUGAGAAAUUUAAUCUGUUCUUCCAGUAGAAGGAAAUAAUUAUUAUAUAUUGAUUCAUUCUUCCUGAUUGGUUAGUCAGAAACAGGUUUUGAAAUUGGCAAAAGGCUUUGGAAAUGUUGGCUUUAGGAAUAGCCUGAAAUGAUGCCAAUGAGUCCAUUUACCCGUCUCAAACAAGUACUUCUCACAGAGAAGUGGUGAAGACUCCCCUUCAAGCAUUUGCAUCCAGAUACCCAUGGGAGUUCUAUGGCAGUUGGAGCUGUCAUAGCACUGUUGACUGAAGUGGGUUGUUUGGCACAGGUUGGUAUGUAACUUAGAAAAAGAAGGAAACAACACUGAGAAUUUGCGAUGAGAGAAAACAGGAUAGAUAAAUAUCUAGAGGGCUGAAUAAACUAUGGAAAGAAGUUGGAGAAUAAAAUCAGGAUUUCAUGAAGUUCCUUUAUCUCUGACAGAAUGCCACCCGUGAGUGAGCUCAUGGUGUAUGUACAUGAAGCAUGUAAGACGGAGAGUCAUGAUAAGCACUGAAAGUGUAAUCAGCAGUAUGAUGGACGUUAUCUUUUCCUGUGUCCCCAUUAACACACAUGAAUAAGGCCCAGGACACAAAUGAUUACUGCACCAAAUGGGUUUUGUGGUCAGUGGUCGGUGAUAGUGAGGAAGGAUGGCCAAGAAGAUCACCUGUACAGACAUGUGCCCCAGAAAGUAGACAAGAUACUUUUUCAACAGGGACUUUUGCUGGGAUAGGUCAAAAGUCAUGUCUUCUUCCAUCUUUGUGUGGUCUGCAUCACUGACAAUGUUGUGGGAUCUUUCUUCAUCUACAGACUUCUUCUUAUGCAUCUCGGUUUGUUUAUGCAUAUUCUGAGAGACAACAAACUCUAUCACAAAAAGGAUGGAGGAAAAGAUAAAGCCAACCAUGUACCACACUCCUAGAACAGGCCAUGUGAAGUGGUUCUCAUAGCACUCUGCUAGACAAGCUUCCGAGAUAUUCCCAUGGCACUGGAAUUCUUCCUUGAUAUCAAGCCAGGGGAUGUGCCCUACACACACAACUGAAGCAUAAAGAAGAGCAAUAGUGAACUACAGUGCUCAUGCUCGCCCUAUGUAGAAGUUAGUGGGAUCUCUGCUCAUCUGCAGUAUGACAGGUGCCACACCCACAACUUCUGAUCUCUCAGCCAUCUUGGAACCUAGGAAGACAAAGUAGCAUGUAGUACUAGAAUGACAGCCUGAGAAUCAACAUAUCUUGUUCUGAACUCCAUUUAAGGUCAAUAAGGUAAAAUGGCAAGACUAACCUCUGGCAAUUUGUGUGUCCCUCCACUCAAGCUCCUCCUGUCACACUAACUGGAUUGUGCUUAAGUCACACUAACUGGAUUGUGCUUUAGAUGAUCCCAGAUCUCUAUAAUUUGUGACAUUGCAAUAUAAGACACAAGCAAAAUUAUCUCUGUGGCCUAUUUCAGAAAAAUCUAGAACAUAUCUUCUCAGUAGAAAUUAAAUACCUAUUGUGCUAUGAAUUUGCUGCUUGUAGGUAAAUUCUUCUCAGGUCUAAUAACUGUCUGUCCAGUUUUCUCCAUCAUCACUCUCACUCCUUACUAUCACAUGAUCGUAUCUCUCAGCUUUCAACAAUAGCUGCCUAAUGCCAAUUUCCUCUCAUUCUCCACUAUUGCCACAGGCUUUCUGUAGCAAACCUUAUUUUCCUUUUUCCAUGCUUUUCUAAAAAAAGGUUUACACUCUUUCAACAUCAUUCACAAGGUCCUACUAUGUUAAAUCCCCACUUAGCAAGUUUCGACUAUGACCUCCAAACCCAUUCACGUCACGCUUCACCCAACUUUUAGCCUUGCACCUGCGAUGUUCUCUUUCACUCCUGGGUCUUCACAUUGCUUUACUUUCCAAGAGUGACAAUUUUCAGAACAGCCCUCAUUCAACUCUCCAGCUGUGUAACUUCUACUAGUGACCUAAUUCUUUGAGAUGUCAUUCCCUGCAGGAGGACAUCUUUGCUCUUCCAAGUCUAAGUUAAGAGGCAUUAUUUGGUUUUCUUACCUCAUCUUAGGCCUUACAACACUGCCUGUUUAUUUGCUUUUAAUAUCUACUCAUAUGUAAAUGUAACCUCUGCAUAAUAGGAAAUAUGUCUAAUUUGCUUCCUAAUUUAUACCCAAGGCUGGCACAUUGUAAGUGUUGAAUAACUAUUUGGGGAAUAAAUUCUUACAUGG